Molecule: ribosomal RNA, 1607 nt
Filed under: Salmonella enterica subsp. enterica serovar Grumpensis
Lineage: Bacteria; Pseudomonadati; Pseudomonadota; Gammaproteobacteria; Enterobacterales; Enterobacteriaceae
Description: bacterial LSU rRNA
Rfam family: Bacterial large subunit ribosomal RNA
Source: RNAcentral
GUUGGGUAGGGGAGCGUUCUGUAAGCCUGCGAAGGUGGCCUGUGAGGGUUGCUGGAGGUAUCAGAAGUGCGAAUGCUGACAUAAGUAACGAUAAAGCGGGUGAAAAGCCCGCUCGCCGGAAGACCAAGGGUUCCUGUCCAACGUUAAUCGGGGCAGGGUGAGUCGACCCCUAAGGCGAGGCCGAAAGGCGUAGUCGAUGGGAAACGGGUUAAUAUUCCCGUACUUGGUGUUACUGCGAAGGGGGGACGGAGAAGGCUAUGUUGGCCGGGCGACGGUUGUCCCGGUUUAAGCGUGUAGGUGUGUGUUCCAGGUAAAUCCGGUUCACUUUAACACUGAGGCGUGAUGACGAGGCACUACGGUGCUGAAGCAACAAAUGCCCUGCUUCCAGGAAAAGCCUCUAAGCAUCAGGUAACAUCAAAUCGUACCCCAAACCGACACAGGUGGUCAGGUAGAGAAUACCAAGGCGCUUGAGAGAACUCGGGUGAAGGAACUAGGCAAAAUGGUGCCGUAACUUCGGGAGAAGGCACGCUGACAUGUAGGUGAAGUGAUUUACUCAUGGAGCUGAAGUCAGUCGAAGAUACCAGCUGGCUGCAACUGUUUAUUAAAAACACAGCACUGUGCAAACACGAAAGUGGACGUAUACGGUGUGACGCCUGCCCGGUGCCGGAAGGUUAAUUGAUGGGGUCAGCGCAAGCGAAGCUCCUGAUCGAAGCCCCGGUAAACGGCGGCCGUAACUAUAACGGUCCUAAGGUAGCGAAAUUCCUUGUCGGGUAAGUUCCGACCUGCACGAAUGGCGUAAUGAUGGCCAGGCUGUCUCCACCCGAGACUCAGUGAAAUUGAACUCGCUGUGAAGAUGCAGUGUACCCGCGGCAAGACGGAAAGACCCCGUGAACCUUUACUAUAGCUUGACACUGAACAUUGAGCCUUGAUGUGUAGGAUAGGUGGGAGGCUUUGAAGUGUGGACGCCAGUCUGCAUGGAGCCGACCUUGAAAUACCACCCUUUAAUGUUUGAUGUUCUAACGUGGACCCGUGAUCCGGGUUGCGGACAGUGUCUGGUGGGUAGUUUGACUGGGGCGGUCUCCUCCUAAAGAGUAACGGAGGAGCACGAAGGUUGGCUAAUCCUGGUCGGACAUCAGGAGGUUAGUGCAAUGGCAUAAGCCAGCUUGACUGCGAGCGUGACGGCGCGAGCAGGUGCGAAAGCAGGUCAUAGUGAUCCGGUGGUUCUGAAUGGAAGGGCCAUCGCUCAACGGAUAAAAGGUACUCCGGGGAUAACAGGCUGAUACCGCCCAAGAGUUCAUAUCGACGGCGGUGUUUGGCACCUCGAUGUCGGCUCAUCACAUCCUGGGGCUGAAGUAGGUCCCAAGGGUAUGGCUGUUCGCCAUUUAAAGUGGUACGCGAGCUGGGUUUAGAACGUCGUGAGACAGUUCGGUCCCUAUCUGCCGUGGGCGCUGGAGAACUGAGGGGGGCUGCUCCUAGUACGAGAGGACCGGAGUGGACGCAUCACUGGUGUUCGGGUUGUCAUGCCAAUGGCACUGCCCGGUAGCUAAAUGCGGAAGAGAUAAGUGCUGAAAGCAUCUAAGCACGAAACUUGCCCCGAGAUGAGUUCU